Molecule: long non-coding RNA, 932 nt
Organism: Medicago truncatula (barrel medic)
Lineage: Eukaryota; Viridiplantae; Streptophyta; Magnoliopsida; Fabales; Fabaceae
Exons: 4
Source: RefSeq, a predicted model, not a curated record
AUAUCCACAGCCACUCGUUGAUCGCGUUUGUUUUCAGAGUUCAUUCGUUUUCUUCCUUCUUCAUUGGAUUUGUAUACCUCCCUCAUCCUCAUCAUGUUUGAGCAGCCUACACUCUCCCUAAUGGGUGAUUCGACCUAAUCCUAUUUUCAUACAAGUAUUUUUGCGGCGCUAAGUUACGAUGGAGGAAGAAGAAAUCACGGUUUAUCUGGUUGCAUUAGCCUACCCCGGUUCAUGUUCUGAGCUUGGUCAAUCAUUGUGGAAUUAAAGAGGAAAAUAUCAGGUUUUGCAGGACGUUUUUGUAUAGGGUUUGAAACAACAAUUUGAUUCAAUAAUAUUGGAUCAGCUCUUUCAAAUACGCGUAUCGGGACGUAUCGGGGUGUAUCGGUAUCAGAUACAUGUCGGAUACGAUACUUCACCAUUUUUGGAGUAUCGGGGCUUCAGAGGCUAACAUAAAUUAUUCUAUUUGUAAUUAAUUAGUUGUUCUCUGUUGGAAUUUAUUCAAAGGAACGUUACCAGCAGCCUAGACUCUCCCCAAUGGGCCCUUCACGAUCGCCGCUGCCACCGCAAAUGGAAAAAAAACUUCUUCUUGGGAAGAAGCGGAAGGAGCAAAAAGUAGAAAGGUAACUCUCUCUCUCUCUCAAACUUUAGGAUCAAUGUCUCUCUUUCUUUAGCAUGCAUACUUGAAGCAUGAGAAAGAGUGGAUGCUGAUUGAAGAAGAAAAAGAGCGUCUUGGGAAAGGGAAAAGAGGAGCUGUUACUGAUAAGUUGAAACCAUGUUAUGCUAUGCUCUUGGCCUGAGAAUAGAGGAGCAGUUACUGAUAGGUUGAAACCAUGUUAUGCUAUGCUCUUGGCCUGAGAAUUGUGUCAGUCUUUUGUACAAGAAUGUAGAAGAAUUAUUAUAAUUCUAAUUGUGUUAUGUUUCUUUGUUUUGUA